CAACUUGAGGUCAGUGGAAUGAUAUAUCACAUGAAUUGCACCCAUGAAGUUUUACAAGGAAAGGAACACGCUACGUGUACGUCAUGCUAUGUGCCACGGAGAAUACACUAAUAAUCACAAGCCGUGAUGUAAUGUAGAGGAGUUAUGCAGUCCACAAAUUUUGAUUGGUAACUAAUUAAGCCCUCGUGCACCAAGGGUGUCUCAUAGAUUUCAGGCAGUCGGAGAAUGAAUAUAAAAGCUUUCACAACUCGGGGUUUUUCUAACCACUUCUCUUCAUUUGUCCUUCUCUGUGACCUGGUGUGUGUUUCAGGGUUACCUCCAUCUCGGAAAGAUGUCUUGUUCCAGAAAUGUGUGCACUGCUGGGGGCUCAGCGUGCGGUGUGGCACGCCCCAGGCCAUUCACUGACAGCUGCAACCAACCAUGCGUCACGCGGUGCCCCGACUCGAGAGUGAUAAUCUACCCACCACCGGUUGUCGUGACCUUCCCGGGACCUAUCCUCACCACUUUCCCGCAGGAAAGCGUAGUGGAAUCCGUGGGAGCUCCUGUCGUUGCAAGUGGCUACGGGGGCACGUCUGGUUCAGGAGCUUUCGGGGUGGGCCAUGGAAACCGUGACCUGUGUGGGCCAUGUUAAAUCCAGAAGGAACAGCCAGGGAAUGAAAAGCAGGGUACAGAUUCACUGUAGAGCUUUCAGAAGGGCUCUGCACCCACAACUCCUGCUGAAGUCAGUGGGAGCUGUGAAUGCUCAGAACCUCUGAAAAGGACGCACAGACGCAUCUUUUGUGUUAUUCUUUAUUAUUCUUUCCUCUAAGGUCUUCCCAACUAUCUGCUGUUUCUAGUUCUCAGUUCCACUGCAGGUUCUUUACGCUCUUCUGGCAAAGUAAAGGAAGUUGGAGCCUUAAAGAGACCACAAAUUCCAUUUACAUUCAGUUUAAAGCCACUUUCCAUUGCCAGAGAGGUGUAAUGGGGCCGUAGUGUCACAGAGAAAUUUGGCACUUUAGGUUCUAGCCAUGCCAUGAAUAGAGAGACCGUUUGUUGAUGGCUUCUGAUGUACAAUGCAGAAGUCAUUUAAUCCUCUGCUUAUGUUGUUCUUUGUCUCCUUUGUUUCUCCCUGGGGUGAAGCCGCUAACUUAAAUGAAAAAAAAAACACUUGAUAGGCAAAUUUCACAGCUGCACCAAAGAAAAAAGAACAUCUUGCUCAAAUUGCAUCUCCUUGGAGCAAGUGAUUGGUUGCAGCCCUUUUUGAAACCCUACAAAUAGAUUUUCUGUCCUUUGCAUUAUUUCAUUCUGCCAUUGUAUAUCCCUCUUUUCAGUCACAUUAAAAAUCAUGUUGCUUCACA
Molecule: non-coding RNA, 1337 nt
Organism: Chrysemys picta bellii (western painted turtle)
Lineage: Eukaryota; Metazoa; Chordata; Testudines; Emydidae
Source: RefSeq, a predicted model, not a curated record